Molecule: ribosomal RNA, 494 nt
Filed under: uncultured bacterium
Lineage: Bacteria
Description: partial 16S ribosomal RNA
Rfam family: Bacterial small subunit ribosomal RNA
Source: RNAcentral
GACGAACGCUGGCGGCGUGCUUAACACAUGCAAGUCGAACGGUGAAGCGCCUUCCUUUUUGGUGGGUGUGGAUGAGUGGCGAACGGGUGAGUAACACGUGAGUAACCUUCCCCCUUCUUCUGGAUAACCGCAUGAAAGUGUGGCUAAUACGGGAUAUUCUGGGUCUGUCGCAUGAUGGGUCUGGGAAAGAUAUUGUUUCGGUUGUGGAUGGGCUCGCGGCCUAUCAGCUUGUUGGUGGGGUGAUGGCCUACCAAGGCGGUGACGGGUAGCCGGCCUGAGAGGGUGGACGGUCACAGAGGGAAUGAGACACGGCGAGGACUACUACGGGCGGCAGCAGUGGGGAAUAUUGCACAAGGGGAGGAAGGAUGAUGCAGCGACGCGGCGGGAGGGAUGGAGGCCUUCGGGUUGUGAACCUCUUUCGCCAGUGAAGCAGGCCUGCCUCGUUUGUGGGUGGGUUGACGGUAGCUGGAUAAGAAGCGCCGGCUAACUACGUG